Molecule: long non-coding RNA, 448 nt
Organism: Beta vulgaris subsp. vulgaris (sugar beet)
Lineage: Eukaryota; Viridiplantae; Streptophyta; Magnoliopsida; Caryophyllales; Amaranthaceae
Exons: 2
Source: RefSeq, a predicted model, not a curated record
UCUGCUCAAUCCAAAUCAGUGUACGACUUCGUUGUCAAGGAUGCACGUGGAAAUGAUGUUGAUCUUAGCACGUACAAAGGGAAGGUGCUGUUAAUCGUCAAUGUUGUUUACAUAAUGUUACUCUAAUAGUGACCUUAUGAGAACACUAUCACACACACUCUCUCAUACUCCACAUUAUCUCUAAACUACAUGGAUUUCAGUACUUAUUUUGAGCAUCUGAGGCCUGGUGUUUAUUGGCGAGUAUUUUUUGAAGCCCGGAUGGCCGAAUCCAGACCUACAACGAGCAUCCCAAAGUUUUUAGCAGAAACAAAUUUUAAUGUCAAAAUUUCAACUUUCUAGUUUCAGGACUAAAAAGUUUGCUCCCAUCUUACCUACAUUGAAAUUCACUUACUUAAAAAGGAAGGAGACAAGGAGUGCCUUCAAUAUAAGUACUUAUUAGUCUACUAUA